RNAcentral lists this ribosomal RNA (253 nucleotides) under uncultured bacterium. RNAcentral's name for it is "partial 16S ribosomal RNA". It matches the Rfam family "Bacterial small subunit ribosomal RNA", at positions 524 to 776 of the family's 1533-position model. The record is from RNAcentral.
UACGUAGGGUGCUAGAGUUGUCCGGAUUUACUGGGUGUAAAGGGUGCUCAGGUGGAUUUGUAAGUCAGAGGUGAAAUCCCAAAGCUUAACUUUGGUGCUGCCUUUGAUACUGCAAGUCUAGAGUUUGAGAGAGGGCAAUGGAAUAUCUGGUGUAGCAGUGAAAUGCGUAGAUAUCAGAUAGAACACCAAUGGCGAAGGCAGUUGCCUGGAUCAAAACUGACGCUAAGGCACGAAAGCGUGGGGAGCAAACAGG